AGAGUCUCACAGGCUUGCUCAUGAUAAUUUCAGACUCAGGCGUGGGUGAAGUGCUUCUCCCUAAUUUCUGAGAAGGUUUCACUAAAGACACACUGAUCGCACCUAGCUGGUUAUACACAUCUGACUAUGCUGUUCAGAAAGGUUCCAGUUCAAGCAGUAAAGUCAUACUUCCUCUCUGCAUCCCAAAACCUGACAAUGGAGGAGAACCCAUCCCUGAGUUUAUGGUACAUAUUGUUUCUACUGUGUGUCAAAUACAUUCAAUUACUCUUCCCUCUCUGGACACUCCAGUAUUAGAGAUGAAGCAAGGAUGAGUAUUUAGACUUGUAGUCUUCAUUUCACAUCUAACAUGUGACAAUCAACACCUGUUUUUACCUGUCACUUCAGGGAGGUAUGGGCAGCCAGGAAUGAAUAAGCAAUUUCUGUUUAUACUUAUCUUUGAUGUGAUCAACUAUGCUUCCAUAGUAAUAUCUUAUUCCUCUCUUCUGUGAAAUGGAAUGCCAGGAAGGAGAUGAUGUGCACAGCCCGGGAUUUCAACUGCAGUCAGCAUCUGACUGUGCUCUUCAGUAAGGUUCCAGUUCAAGCAAUAAAGCCAUACUUCCUUUCUGCAUCCCAGGAAGGUGACACUGGAUGAGACCCCUUCCC
This is a long non-coding RNA of Chionomys nivalis (European snow vole), 642 nucleotides long. RefSeq lists it as uncharacterized. The record is from RefSeq and is a predicted model, not a curated record. NCBI's taxonomy places the organism in Eukaryota, Metazoa, Chordata, Mammalia, Rodentia, Cricetidae. The transcript is spliced from 6 exons.